Molecule: transfer RNA, 82 nt
Filed under: Deferribacteraceae bacterium
Lineage: Bacteria; Pseudomonadati; Deferribacterota; Deferribacteres; Deferribacterales; Deferribacteraceae
Description: tRNA-Leu
Rfam family: tRNA
About the family: Transfer RNA (tRNA) molecules are approximately 80 nucleotides in length. Their secondary structure includes four short double-helical elements and three loops (D, anti-codon, and T loops). Further hydrogen bonds mediate the characteristic L-shaped molecular structure. tRNAs have two regions of fundamental functional importance: the anti-codon, which is responsible for specific mRNA codon recognition, and the 3' end, to which the tRNAs corresponding amino acid is attached (by aminoacyl-tRNA synthetases). tRNAs cope with the degeneracy of the genetic code in two manners: having more than one tRNA (with a specific anti-codon) for a particular amino acid; and 'wobble' base-pairing, i.e. permitting non-standard base-pairing at the 3rd anti-codon position.
Source: RNAcentral
GCGAGCGUGGUGGAAUUGGUAGACACGCCAGACUUAGGAUCUGGUGCUGCACAGCGUGGGGGUUCAAGUCCCUCCGUUCGCA